This 7094-nucleotide long non-coding RNA is filed under the name Pogona vitticeps (central bearded dragon). RNAcentral describes it as "lncRNA (ENSPVIG00000004054.1)". Lineage: Eukaryota; Metazoa; Chordata; Lepidosauria; Squamata; Agamidae. The record is from RNAcentral.
AUGGAUGGCCACCGGUCUUCUUUUGACCAGACAGUCCCUGGGAAUGAGGAAAUGCUUGAUGCUCAGGAGCAGAAGAGUAGCAGUGCUAGCCCAGAAAUGGAGAGAAAAGCGGGACGGAGGCCAGAUGUGCUGAACCAAUCUCUGCAGACAGACAGCAAAGUCAGCAUUUUCCAGCGGAAACAACUGGUGGACCAAAGCUUGCAGACCGAUGUUUCUGGCAGCACAAGAAACAGUGUGACAUCUCUUGGGUCUCAUGAUAGCAGCCCUUGGCUCCCCGGCCAGGAAUCCUGUCCCAGCAGGCAACAGUCGGUUGGCCAUCCGUUCAUUCAGAGUCAGAAGUCUUCUCGAGUGCAGUCUGAACAAAAGGUUGCUGUAUCUGAUUGGGCCGAAAUGGAACAAACUGCAGGGCAAGACUCUGGCUUUGGGAAUGACCAGGCGGAGAGCUGGGGAUCUCGCCGGGUUAGUCGACAAGAAGAGAGACCGGAAUCUCAGCAGCCUUGCCAGGAAGCCAGUGAGAGCAACUUCUUAGAAUGUCAACAGACUUCCCAGGGACAAACUUUGAACAAUAACAACACAAUGAAGAAAGACUCUUGGUUCAAUGAUAGAACAGGCGUGUAUGUGGUUUCUAGUGGUAAUCAGACAAGUAUUGUUUGGGGUCCAGAAUCACUUGCAGAAAUUCUCCUGCCUUUUAAAGAAUCUGUGAUAAUCAAGCAGUUAGACAAGGAAACGCUUAAGGAUGAAGACAUGAAAAUCUCUUCUGCAGAUGCAGAAAUGGAACAAGCUGUAGCCCAAGAAUCUCAUCACAGUGUUCACCAGCUGGAGGAGAUGGAAUCAAGGCGUUCUAGUCGCCAGCCCACGGCCCAAGAAUCUCAUCACAGUGUUCACCAGGCAGAGGAGAUGGAAUCAAGGCGUUGUAGUCGCCAGCCCACGGCCCAAGAAUCUCAUCACAGUGUUCACCAGCCAGAGGAGAUGGAAUCAAGGCGUUGUAGUCGCCAGCCCACAGCCCAAGAAUCUCAUCACAGUGUUUACCAGCCAGAGAUGCAGGAAUACAGGAUAGGCACAGGGUCCCACCCAAGCAUCCAACAACUAGAAGCAGAAAAAACUAGGUCAGACGAACAACGAGCAAGACGACGUAAGAAAACACACAAAAUUAAAGUUGACCAGGCUCAACAGACAGACAGUGCAGACAGUCUGGCAAAAGAAUUGUUUGAAAGAGGUGCACAGACAAGUAUCACAAGUGCUGAAAAAAUCAGUGCCACCACUGAAUGGCAAGACUCCCGCCAUGGCAGCCAGCAGCCUGACCUUCAAGAAGGAGACCAGAGCAUGCAUCCAGUUCAAUUGCAAGAGCCCUGUGCUCUCAGCCAGCCACUAGAAGCACCUGAAAGCUGCAGAAGUAGCCUGCAGUAUGAGCUGCGAGGCUCUCACCAUGGAAGCGAGCUGCUUGGUGCUACAGAACACCACCGCAGCAGUCUUCCUACUCAUUUACAAGAUUCUUUCCAUGAUGGCUUGCAACAAGAAGUUCAAGAAUUCCACCGGGGUAGCCUCCCGAUAGAAUUGGAGGAUUCCCGCCGUGGGAGCAGGCAAGUUGAUGCUCCAGAACCCCACCGAAGCAGUCUUCCAAUUCAGUUACAAGAUUCUUGCCAUGACAGCAUGCCGUGUGCAGCACAAGGAUUCCCCAGGAGCAGCCUCCCUGCUGAAUUGCAAGAUUCCCACCGAGACAGCGAGCAGAGUCACUUUCAGCAACCUCACCGUGACAGUCUCCUACCCGGGAGACGAGAAUCUGAACCUGCAGGUGAACAACUUGAAGCAAGACACAGCCAGAGUGGCCAGAAACCUCUGGGCACAGAAUUCAGAAUGGAUGAUGAGAAGGAGCCCCAGAUGCCCAUGUCUUUUGAUAAUGAGCCAGUGCUGCCCAAACAGAAAGCUUCAUUUGGUCAGCAGACCUACAGCAUCAUUUCCAUUGAAGGAACUACCUGGUUAAACCGAAGAAGUGGUACGCUAAUGAGAAACCAGAGCCAACAGACCAUGACUAGUUGGCUCCAGAAUUAUAGGGAGAAAAAACAGAUGCUCUCUACUGAAAAAUUGGAGUCAAAGAGUGGAGAACCUGAGGUUGAACGAUCAACCUGCCCCCUAGAUGAAAAAGAAGCAGCUGACCAGCCGCUCACAGAGCCCGAAGCUCAGAAUGUCAUCCAAGAGGCUGGAGCCCUGGAGUCCGAGACAGAGAGCAGGGGGCCUCUUCCAACCGAAUCCCGGAGGGGUAGCGAACUGCGCUCCAUGCCUGGGUCUAGGAGGGGCAGCGGAAUGCCUUCUGAGGCUGAUUCCCGAAGGGGCAGCAAACCAUCCACGGUCCCUAAUUCCCGGAAGGGCAGCAGAUUGCCUGCUCUCCCCGAGACAUGGAAGGACAGCGAACAGCCCGCUCUUCCUGAAUCGCCUGAACGAUACGUGUUUGAGUUGCCUGGAUCCAGGAAGGCUAGUGAAUCCCCGGCUGUACCACAGUCCCGGAAGGCCAGUGAACCGCCCAUGACGCUUGAGUCCUGGAAAGCCGGAGAAUGCCCAGACUUGCCUGAGCCCCAUAGGACCAACGAACAACCUCUCGUAGAUGAGGUCUGGGUGGCAAGUGAACUGCCCUCUGUGCCACAAUCCCGGAAGGGCAGUGAACCACCCACUGUGCCCGAAUCUCGAAAGGCCAGUAUAUUGCCUACUGUACCUGAAUCCCGGAAGGCCAGUGAAACACCUGUUGUGCUGGAAUCCCAAAAGGCCAGCGAACCAUUCUUUGUGCCUGAAUCUCGAAAGGCCAGUGUGUCACCAACUGUGCCACAGUCCCGGAAGGCCAGCGAACUGCCCUCUGAGCUUGAAUCUUGCAAGGCCAGUGAAUCACCUGCUCUGCCUGAAUCUCAAAACGUGAGUCAAUUGCCAAAUGUGUCCGAAUCCCGGAAAGCCAGCGAAGCAUCCACCCUGCCCCAAUCAUCUAUUGUGCCCGAAUCCCGAAAGCUCAGUGAAUCACCCACUGUGCCACAAUCCAGGAAGGGCAGUGAAACGACCUCCAUGCCACAAUCCCGGAAAGGCAGUGAGCCACCCGCUGUGCCCGAAUCUCGAAAGGCCAGCAUAUUGCCCACUGUGCCUGAAUACCAAAGGGCCAGUGAAUCAUCCUUUGUGCUUGAAUCCCAGAAGGUCAGCGAAACACCCAUUGUACCUGAAUCCCGAAAGGCUAGUGAAUCACCCACUGUGCCACAAUCCCGGAAGGGCAGUGAAACCUCCUCUGUGCCACAAUCCCGGAAGGGCAGUGAAACCUCCUCUGUGCCACAAUCCCGGAAGGGCAGUGAAACCUCCUCUGUGCCACAAUCCCGGAAGGGCAGUGAAACCUCCUCUGUGCCACAAUCCCGGAAGGGCAGUGAAACCUCCUCUGUGCCACAAUCCCGGAAGGGCAGUGAAACCUCCUCUGUGCCACAAUCCCGGAAGGGCAGUGAAACCUCCUCUGUGCCACAAUCCCGGAAGGGCAGUGAAACCUCCUCUGUGCCACAAUCCCGGAAGGGCAGUGAAACCUCCUCUGUGCCACAAUCCCGGAAGGGCAGUGAAACCUCCUCUGUGCCACAAUCCCGGAAGGGCAGUGAAACCUCCUCUGUGCCACAAUCCCGGAAGGGCAGUGAAACCUCCUCUGUGCCACAAUCCCGGAAGGGCAGUGAAACCUCCUCUGUGCCACAAUCCCGGAAGGGCAGUGAAACCCCCUCUGUGUCACAAUCCCGGAAGGGCAGUGAGCCACCUGCUGUGCCUGAAUCUCGAAAGGCGAGCAUAUUGCCCACUGUGCCUGAAUCCCAGAAGGCCAGCGAAACGCCCAUUGUACCUGAAUCCCGAAAGGCCAGUGAAGGACCCAUUAUGCCAGAAUCACGAAAGGCCAGUGAACCAUUCUUUGUGCCUGAAUCUCGAAAGGGCAGUGAAUCACCCAUUGUGCCUGAAUCUCGAAUGGCCAGCAUAUUGACCAUUGUGCCUGAAUCCCGGAAGGCCAGUGAAUCACCAGUUGUGCCAGAAUCCCGAAAGGCUAGUGAAUCACCCACUGUGCCACAAUCCCGGAAGGGCAGUGAAACCUCCUCUGUACCACAAUCCCGGAAGGGCAGUGAGCCACACGCUGUGCCUGAAUCUCGAAAGACCAGCAUAUUGCCCACCGUGCCUGAAUCCCAAAGGGCCAGUGAGUCAUCCUUUGUGUUUGAAUCCCAGAAGGCCAGCGAAGCACCCAUUGUACCUGAAUCCCGAAAGGCCAGUGAAUCACCCAUUGUGCCUGAAUCCCGGAAGGCCAGUGAAUCACCAAUUGUGCCAGAAUCCCGAAAGGCUAGUGAACCAUUCUUUGUACCCGAAUCUCGAAAGGCCAGUGAAUCACCCACUGUGCCACAAUCCCGGAAGGGCAGUGAACCACGCACUGUGCCCGAAUCUCGAAAGGCCAGUAUAUUGCCUACUGUACCUGAAUCCCGGAAAUCCAGUGAAACACCUGUUGUGCUGGAAUCACAAAAGGCCAGUGAACCAUUCUUUGUGGCUGAAUCUCGAAAGGCCAGUGAACCACCCACUGUGCCGCAGUCCCGGAAGGGCAGUGAAAUCUCCUCUGUGCCACAAUCCCGGAAGGGCAGUGAACCACGCACUGUGUCCGAAUCUCGAAAGACCAGUAUAUUGCCUACUGUACCUGAAUACCGAAAGGCUAGUGAAUCACCCAUUGUGCUGGAAUCACAAAAGGCCAGUGAACCAUUCUUUGUACAUGAAUCCCGAAAGGCCAGUGAAUCACCCACUGUGCCACAAUCCCGGAAGACCAGUGAACCGUCCUCUGUGCCUGAGUCCCAGAAGGUCAAUGAACCAUUCCCUGUGCCCGGAUCCCAAAAGCCAAGUGAACCAUCCUCUGUGCCUGAAUCUCGGAAGGCCAGUGAACAAAGUUUUUUGAAACAUGUAUCUUCUUUUUCUGCGAAAGCUCAGCAGACGUACAGCAUUAUUUCUGUUGAGAUAAAUACCUGGAUGAACAGAAGAACCGGCAAAUUAAUGACAUCCAGUAGUCAACAAACUGAGAGGAGCUGGAUGCAGGACUAUAUAGCAAAAAAAUUAAAAGGUGUCGCUAAAGAUAGUCUGACGGCAGCUGAACUUACCAGCCCUGAGAACGAUGGAAAAGAUGCUGCAGAACAACAGCACACUAGCAAGGGUGAAGUGGAAACUGAGGAGUCCUGGUGGGGCAGCCAACAAGCAGAGGUGCAGGAGUCCCGGCGGAGCAGCCAACAGGCAGAGGUGCAGCAGUCCUGGCGGGGCAGCCAACAGGCCGAAAAGCUAGGUUGCGAAAGGGGCAACAAAUUGGACGUUGUGCAAGAAUCACAAGAAAGAAGCCCACAGCCAGUGUGUGAUGAAUUUCAGUACAGUAACAGCAUGUGGAACUCAUUAGGUAGUGAUUUCAAGUUGCCUGGUGAGUCUGAAAGCAAGGCUACCCUUGAGAGCUUAUCCUCAUAUGUUGAGGGAGAAGAUGAAGCUCUGCAGACGUCUAGCAUCAUUUCUCUCGAAGUUGGGAUCUGGCUAAACAGAAAAACUGGGAAGAUAUUGAGAAGCCAUAGUCAACAGACAAGUGCCAGCUGUCUUCAUACUGAUUGUAGAGGACCUCCGGAACACAACAGAGAUACAGCAGAGAGCCCACAGGUAUCCCAAGCCAAUGUUAGGCCACUUGACGAGAAACCAGGCGAAGCGUCUUGCGAUAGUCUCACCUUUGCGCCAUCUUUGGGUGAGCUGCAGGCUGGCGAUGAAUUUGAAAAAGUGGCCAGUGCCUCUAGGAGCGAAGCAAUCCUACAGAGUGUGCCCUCGUCCCUGACGAAUGCAGAGGUGGUGUCCUUGCCCAUCUACACGGUGGUUUCUGUGGCCGAAGGCAGCUGGCGGAAUGUCCAAACGGGAAAGCUGCUGGCCUCUAGGUGCCAGCAGACAGACAAGUCUUCCAUCCAAGAGGUUCAUCAGCCCGUCCGGCGCACUAGUUAUUCACCCGAGCUGAGUUAUGAUGACCUAAAGGAUGUACAGAUAAGUGAAAGCUCACAACCAAUCUGCUAUAGCGAUAUACUCUAUAGUGAACCCAAGGGGCCCUCUACGUACCAGCAGACGGACAAGUCUUCCAUCCAAGAGGGUCAUCAGCCCGUCCGGCGCACUAGUUAUUCACCCGAGCUGAGUUAUGAUGACCUAAAGGAUGUACAGAUAAGUGAAAGCUCACAACCAAUCUGCUAUAGCGAUAUACUCUAUAGUGAACCCAAGGGGCCCUCUACGUACCAGCAGACGGACAAGUCUUCCAUCCAAGAGGGUCAUCAGCCCGUCCGGCGCACUAGUUAUUCACCCGAGCUGAGUUAUGAUGACCUAAAGGAUGUACAGAUAAGUGAAAGCUCACAACCAAUCUGCUAUAGCGAUAUACUCUAUAGUGAACCCAAGGGGCCCUCUACGUACCAGCAGACGGACAAGUCUUCCAUCCAAGAGGGUCAUCAGCCCGUCCGGCGCACUAGUUAUUCACCCGAGCUGAGUUAUGAUGACCUAAAGGAUGUACAGAUAAGUGAAAGCUCACAACCAAUCUGCUAUAGCGAUAUACUCUAUAGUGAACCCAAGGGGCCCUCUACGUACCAGCAGACGGACAAGUCUUCCAUCCAAGAGGGUCAUCAGCCCGUCCGGCGCACUAGUUAUUCACCCGAGCUGAGUUAUGAUGACCUAAAGGAUGUACAGAUAAGUGAAAGCUCACAACCAAUCUGCUAUAGCGAUAUACUCUAUAGUGAACCCAAGGGGCCCUCUACGUACCAGCAGACGGACAAGUCUUCCAUCCAAGAGGGUCAUCAGCCCGUCCGGCGCACUAGUUAUUCACCCGAGCUGAGUUAUGAUGACCUAAAGGAUGUACAGAUAAGCGAAAGCUCCCAACCAACCUGCUACAGCGAUAUACUUUAUAAUGAACCCGAGGUGCCCGGUGGAUAGGAUGGGCUCGAACCGGCUGGAGACAGUGGAGACCGAGCUGCCCUUCUGGAGGAAAGGUGUAUGUCUGGAAGAACUAAAAUAAGGCUCCUGGAAACAUGUGAGAGCAGAAUAAAAACAAGGAAACCUAUAUAUUUUGUGGUUAA